GGUUAAGCGACUAAGAGUACACGGGGGAGGCCCUGGCAGUCAGAGGCGAUGAAGGACGUGCUCAUCUGAGAUAAGCGGAGGUGAGGGGAUAUGAACCGUUAUAGACGGCGAGUUACGAAGGGGGAGACCCAGUGUGUAUCGACACACGAUCAUUAACUGAAUCCAUAGGUUAAUGAGGCGAACCGGGGGAACUGAAACAUCUAAGUACCCCGAGGAAAAGAAAUCAACCGAGAUUCCCCCAGUAGCGGCGAGCGAACGGGGAGGAGCCCAGAGCCUGAAUCAGUGUGUGUGUUAGUGGAAGCGUCUGGAAAGGCGCGCGAUACAGGGUGACAGCCCCGUACACAAAAAUGCACAUAUUGUGAGCUCGAUGAGUAGGGCGGGACACGUGGUAUCCUGUCUGAAUAUGGGGGGACCAUCCUCCAAGGCUAAAUACUCCUGACUGACCGAUAGUGAACCAGUACCGUGAGGGAAAGGCGAAAAGAACCCCGGCGAGGGGAGUGAAAAAGAACCUGAAACCGUGUACGUACAAGCAGUGGGAGCCUCUUAAUGGGGUGACUGCGUACCUUUUGUAUAAUGGGUCAGCGACUUAUAUUCUGUAGCAAGGUUAACCGAAUAGGGGAGCCGAAGGGAAACCGAGUCUUAACUGGGCGUUAAGUUGCAGGGUAUAGACCCGAAACCCGGUGAUCUAGCCAUGGGCAGGUUGAAGGUUGGGUAACACUAACUGGAGGACCGAACCGACUAAUGUUGAAAAAUUAGCGGAUGACUUGUGGCUGGGGGUGAAAGGCCAAUCAAACCGGGAGAUAGCUGGUUCUCCCCGAAAGCUAUUUAGGUAGCGCCUCGUGAAUUCAUCUCCGGGGGUAGAGCACUGUUUCGGCAAGGGGGUCAUCCCGACUUACCAACCCGAUGCAAACUGCGAAUACCGGAGAAUGUUAUCACGGGAGACACACGGCGGGUGCUAACGUCCGUCGUGAAGAGGGAAACAACCCAGACCGCCAGCUAAGGUCCCAAAGUCAUGGUUAAGUGGGAAACGAUGUGGGAAGGCCCAGACAGCCAGGAUGUUGGCUUAGAAGCAGCCAUCAUUUAAAGAAAGCGUAAUAGCUCACUGGUCGAGUCGGCCUGCGCGGAAGAUGUAACGGGGCUAAACCAUGCACCGAAGCUGCGGCAGCGACACUAUGUGUUGUUGGGUAGGGGAGCGUUCUGUAAGCCUGUGAAGGUGUACUGUGAGGUAUGCUGGAGGUAUCAGAAGUGCGAAUGCUGACAUAAGUAACGAUAAAGCGGGUGAAAAGCCCGCUCGCCGGAAGACCAAGGGUUCCUGUCCAACGUUAAUCGGGGCAGGGUGAGUCGACCCCUAAGGCGAGGCCGAAAGGCGUAGUCGAUGGGAAACAGGUUAAUAUUCCUGUACUUGGUGUUACUGCGAAGGGGGGACGGAGAAGGCUAUGUUGGCCGGGCGACGGUUGUCCCGGUUUAAGCGUGUAGGCUGGUUUUCCAGGCAAAUCCGGAAAAUCAAGGCUGAGGCGUGAUGACGAGGCACUACGGUGCUGAAGCGACAAAUGCCCUGCUUCCAGGAAAAGCCUCUAAGCAUCAGGUAACAUCAAAUCGUACCCCAAACCGACACAGGUGGUCAGGUAGAGAAUACCAAGGCGCUUGAGAGAACUCGGGUGAAGGAACUAGGCAAAAUGGUGCCGUAACUUCGGGAGAAGGCACGCUGAUAUGUAGGUGAAGCGACUUGCUCGUGGAGCUGAAAUCAGUCGAAGAUACCAGCUGGCUGCAACUGUUUAUUAAAAACACAGCACUGUGCAAACACGAAAGUGGACGUAUACGGUGUGACGCCUGCCCGGUGCCGGAAGGUUAAUUGAUGGGGUUAGCGGUAACGCGAAGCUCUUGAUCGAAGCCCCGGUAAACGGCGGCCGUAACUAUAACGGUCCUAAGGUAGCGAAAUUCCUUGUCGGGUAAGUUCCGACCUGCACGAAUGGCGUAAUGAUGGCCAGGCUGUCUCCACCCGAGACUCAGUGAAAUUGAACUCGCUGUGAAGAUGCAGUGUACCCGCGGCAAGACGGAAAGACCCCGUGAACCUUUACUAUAGCUUGACACUGAACAUUGAGCCUUGAUGUGUAGGAUAGGUGGGAGGCUUUGAAGUGUGGACGCCAGUCUGCAUGGAGCCGACCUUGAAAUACCACCCUUUAAUGUUUGAUGUUCUAACGUGGGCCCCUUACCGGGGUUGCGGACAGUGUCUGGUGGGUAGUUUGACUGGGGCGGUCUCCUCCUAAAGAGUAACGGAGGAGCACGAAGGUUGGCUAAUCCUGGUCGGACAUCAGGAGGUUAGUGCAAUGGCAUAAGCCAGCUUGACUGCGAGCGUGACGGCGCGAGCAGGUGCGAAAGCAGGUCAUAGUGAUCCGGUGGUUCUGAAUGGAAGGGCCAUCGCUCAACGGAUAAAAGGUACUCCGGGGAUAACAGGCUGAUACCGCCCAAGAGUUCAUAUCGACGGCGGUGUUUGGCACCUCGAUGUCGGCUCAUCACAUCCUGGGGCUGAAGUAGGUCCCAAGGGUAUGGCUGUUCGCCAUUUAAAGUGGUACGCGAGCUGGGUUUAGAACGUCGUGAGACAGUUCGGUCCCUAUCUGCCGUGGGCGCUGGAGAACUGAGGGGGGCUGCUCCUAGUACGAGAGGACCGGAGUGGACGCAUCACUGGUGUUCGGGUUGUCAUGCCAAUGGCACUGCCCGGUAGCUAAAUGCGGAAGAGAUAAGUGCUGAAAGCAUCUAAGCACGAAACUUGCCCCGAGAUGAGUUCUCCCUGACUCCUUGAGAGUCCUGAAGGAACGUUGAAGACGACGACGUUGAUAGGCCGGGUGUGUAAGCGCAGCGAUGCGUUGAGCUAACCGGUACUAAUGAACCGUGAGGCUUAACCUU
RNAcentral lists this ribosomal RNA (2904 nucleotides) under Escherichia coli. Its description in RNAcentral is "23S ribosomal RNA". It matches the Rfam family "Bacterial large subunit ribosomal RNA". Lineage: Bacteria; Pseudomonadati; Pseudomonadota; Gammaproteobacteria; Enterobacterales; Enterobacteriaceae. The record is from RNAcentral.